RNAcentral lists this ribosomal RNA (516 nucleotides) under uncultured bacterium. RNAcentral's name for it is "partial 16S ribosomal RNA". It matches the Rfam family "Bacterial small subunit ribosomal RNA", at positions 28 to 523 of the family's 1533-position model. The record is from RNAcentral.
GAUGAACGCUGGCGGCGUGCCUAAUACAUGCAAGUCGAGCGAAUGGAUUAAGAGCUUGCUCUUAUGAAGUUAGCGGCGGACGGGUGAGUAACACGUGGGUAACCUGCCCAUAAGACUGGGAUAACUCCGGGAAACCGGGGCUAAUAUCGGAUAACAUUUUGAACCGCAUGGGUCGAAAUUGAAAGGCGGCUUCGGCUGUCAAUUAUGGAGGGACCAGCGUCGCAUUAGCUAGUUGGUGAGGUAACGGCUGACCAAGGCAACGAAUGCGUAGCCGACCUGCGAGGGUGAUCGGCCACACUGGGACUGAGACACGGCCCAGACUCCUACGGGAGGCAGCAGUAGGGAAUCUUCCGCAAUGGACGAAUGUCUGACGGAGCAACGCCGCGUGAGUGAUGAAGGCUUUCGGGUCGUAAAACUCUGUUGUUAGGGAAGAACAAGUGCUAGUUGAAUAAGCUGGCACCUUGACGGUACCUAACCAGAAAGCCACGGCUAACUACGUGCCAGCCGCCGCAGUAA